RNAcentral lists this ribosomal RNA (468 nucleotides) under uncultured bacterium. RNAcentral's name for it is "partial 16S ribosomal RNA". It matches the Rfam family "Bacterial small subunit ribosomal RNA", at positions 28 to 507 of the family's 1533-position model. The record is from RNAcentral.
GACGAACGCUGGCGGCGUGCUUAACACAUGCAAGUCGAACGGAAAGGCCCUGCUUUUGUGGGGUGCUCGAGUGGCGAACGGGUGAGUAACACGUGAGUAACCUGCCCUUGACUUUGGGAUAACUUCAGGAAACUGGGGCUAAUACCGGAUAGGAGCUCCUCCUGCAUGGUGUGGGUUGGAAAGUUUCGGCGGUUGGGGAUGGACUCGCGGCUUAUCAGCUUGUUGGUGGGGUAGUGGCUUACCAAGGCUUUGACGGGUAGCCGGCCUGUGAGGGUGACUGCCCACAUUAGGCCUGGGAUACGGCCCAGACUCCUACGUGAGGCAGCGGUGGGGAAUAUUGCACAAUGGGCGGAAGCGUGAUGCCGCAACGCCGCGUGCGGAAUGACGGCCUUAGGGUUGUAACCCGCUUUCGCCUGAGACUAAGCGUGAGUGACGGUAAUGGGUAAAGAAGCACCGGCUAACUACGUG